This 462-nucleotide ribosomal RNA is filed under the name uncultured bacterium. RNAcentral describes it as "bacterial SSU rRNA". It matches the Rfam family "Bacterial small subunit ribosomal RNA", at positions 28 to 507 of the family's 1533-position model. The record is from RNAcentral.
GACGAACGCUGGCGGCGUGCUUAACACAUGCAAGUCGAACGGUGACGAGGAGCUUGCUCCUCUGAUCAGUGGCGAACGGGUGAGUAACACGUGAGCAACCUGCCCCAGACUCUGGGAUAACAGUUGGAAACAGCUGCUAAUACCGGAUACGAGACGGAGAGGCAUCUCUACCGUCUGGAAAGUUUUUCGGUCUGGGAUGGACUCGCGGCCUAUCAGCUAGUUGGUGAGGUAAUGGCUCACCAAGGCGACGAUGGGUAGCCGACCUGAGAGGGUGAUCGGCCACACUGGGACUGAGACACGGCCCAGACUCCUACGGGAGGCAGCAGUGGGGAAUAUUGGGCAAUGGGCGAAAGCCUGACCCAGCAACGCCGCGUGAAGGAAGAAGGUCUUCGGAUUGUAAACUUCUGUCGUCAGGGACGAAAAAGGACGGUACCUGGCAAGAAAGCCCCGGCUAACUACGUG